AAAAGUGAUGUCACAGAGCAACCAUGUGUGGCAAUGGAAUGUGCUGUAACAUGAAGAGUCUAAGAGCACAAAUGGAAAAUUAACCGUCAGGACCCGAGGGUUAUCUCUUCACUCCCUGCCUCCACAAGAUAAGGAAACUGAGGCAAAUAGGCAUAUGAGACUUGCCCAGGGUCAUCCAGCUUGUCAGAUUUGAACUCAGAAAAUGAGGCUUCUUGACUCCAGGCUGGAUGCUCUGUUCCCUGUACUAUACCCUUCCAGACUGAUUUCACUCUUGAGUGAAGAAAUCUUUUCUUCAGAUGUAGAAGAGCUAUUACCCUGCAUCUUAGAGUUUUAG
This 334-nucleotide long non-coding RNA is filed under the name Monodelphis domestica (gray short-tailed opossum). RNAcentral describes it as "lncRNA (ENSMODG00000033922.2)". The record is from RNAcentral. Lineage: Eukaryota; Metazoa; Chordata; Mammalia; Didelphimorphia; Didelphidae.